GUCUAUUAGGUUCCAGAGUUGCUCAUGUGGCGCAUCCAAGGGUAUUGCUCCAGAAACAUAUUUGGUCGAGUUUAUCUGUUUUAUUUUGGCAAACCUCGAUUCUCCAAGAAGUCCUCGGCGUCCAGAAUGCCCAAGCGCGAAAAAUGGCGCUAUGAAUAUUCGCAAGCCAUUCAUCUCUAGAGUGUCGAGAGCAAGACACAAAGGAUUAGUUGCUAGGUGCUCCGUAUGCCUUUUGAAAUGUGGCCUGUUGGCGGGAGAGAAAUUCUUGGUGGUGGAGUGCAUGGUCGAAGAAGGCUAUACGAAAGAAUCUGUACCGC
Molecule: small RNA, 317 nt
Filed under: Histoplasma capsulatum
Lineage: Eukaryota; Fungi; Ascomycota; Eurotiomycetes; Onygenales; Ajellomycetaceae
Also listed under: 1 other name
Description: hypothetical RNA
Source: RNAcentral